Molecule: ribosomal RNA, 512 nt
Filed under: uncultured bacterium
Lineage: Bacteria
Description: partial 16S ribosomal RNA
Rfam family: Bacterial small subunit ribosomal RNA
Source: RNAcentral
GAUGAACGCUGGCGGCGUGCCUAAUACAUGCAAGUCGAACGAAACUUCUUUAUCACCGAGUGCUUGCACUCACCGAUAAAGAGUUGAGUGGCGAACGGGUGAGUAACACGUGGGCAACCUGCCCAAAAGAGGGGGAUAACACUUGGAAACAGGUGCUAAUACCGCAUAACCAUAGUUACCGCAUGGUAACUAUGUAAAAGGUGGCUAUACUACCGCUUUUGGAUGGGCCCGCGGCGCAUUAGCUAGUUGGUAGGGUAAAGGCUUACCAAGGCAAUGAUGCGUAGCCGAAUUGAGAGGCUGAUCGGCAACAUUGGGACUGAGAUGCGGCUCAACCUCCUACGGAAGGCAGCAGUAGGGAAUCUUCCGCAAUUGGCGAAAGCCUGAUGGAGCAACGCCGCUUGGGUGAAGACGGUCUUCGGAUCGUAAAACCCUGUUGUUAGGGAAGAAAGUGCGUGAGAGUAACUAUUCACGUUUCGACGGUAUCUAACGAGAAAGCCACGGCUAACUACGUG